RNAcentral lists this ribosomal RNA (497 nucleotides) under uncultured bacterium. Its description in RNAcentral is "partial 16S ribosomal RNA". It matches the Rfam family "Bacterial small subunit ribosomal RNA", at positions 28 to 507 of the family's 1533-position model. The record is from RNAcentral.
GAUGAACGCUGGCGGCGUGCCUAAUACAUGCAAGUCGAGCGAACAGACGAGGAGCUUGCUCCUCUGACGUUAGCGGCGGACGGGUGAGUAACACGUGGAUAACCUACAUAUAAGACUGGGAUAACUUCGGGAAACCGGAGCUAAUACCGGAUAAUAUAUUGAACCGGAUGGUUCAAUAGUGAAAGACGGUUUUGCUGUUACUUAUAGAUGGAUCCGCGCCGCAUUAGCUAGUUGGUAAGGUAACGGCUUACCAAGUCAACGAUGCGUAGCCGACCUGAGAGGGUGACCGGCCAUGCUGGAACAGGAAGACGGUCCAGACUCCUACGGGAGGCAGGAGUAGGGAACCUUCCGAAAAGGGAGAAAGCCUGACGGAGCAACGCCGCGUGGGUGAUGAGGGUCUUCGGAUCGUAAAACUCUGUUAUUAGGGAAGAACAAAUGUGUAAGUAACUAUGCACGUCUUGACGGUACCUAGUCAGAAAGCAACGGCUAACUACGUG